AACCUUUUGUAGUUAGUUCAUGAGCGUGAUGAUUGGGUGUCAUGGGCUUGUGUGAUAUGUGCCUCCCUCAAGCCUUGUUAUAACUUCAGCACAUUAUCUGUCUGAUG
Molecule: small nucleolar RNA, 107 nt
Organism: Camelus dromedarius (Arabian camel)
Lineage: Eukaryota; Metazoa; Chordata; Mammalia; Artiodactyla; Camelidae
Source: Ensembl